Molecule: ribosomal RNA, 2462 nt
Filed under: Listeria monocytogenes
Lineage: Bacteria; Bacillati; Bacillota; Bacilli; Caryophanales; Listeriaceae
Description: partial 23S ribosomal RNA
Rfam family: Bacterial large subunit ribosomal RNA
Source: RNAcentral
UAAAUACUCCCUAGUGACCGAUAGUGAACCAGUACCGUGAGGGAAAGGUGAAAAGCACCCCGGAAGGGGAGUGAAACAGUUCCUGAAACCGUGUGCCUACAAGUAGUUAGAGCCCGUUAAUGGGUGAUAGCGUGCCUUUUGUAGAAUGAACCGGCGAGUUACGAUUUGUUGCAAGGUUAAGCGGAAAAAGCGGAGCCGUAGCGAAAGCGAGUCUGAAUAGGGCGCAUAAGUAACAGGUCGUAGACCCGAAACCAGGUGAUCUACCCAUGUCCAGGAUGAAGGUAAGGUAAUACUUACUGGAGGUCCGAACCCACGCACGUUGAAAAGUGCGGGGAUGAGGUGUGGGUAGCGGAGAAAUUCCAAUCGAACUUGGAGAUAGCUGGUUCUCUCCGAAAUAGCUUUAGGGCUAGCCUCGAGGUAAAGAGUCAUGGAGGUAGAGCACUGUUUGGACUAGGGGCCCUUCUCGGGUUACCGAAUUCAGAUAAACUCCGAAUGCCAUGUACUUAUACUCGGGAGUCAGACUGCGAGUGAUAAGAUCCGUAGUCGAAAGGGAAACAGCCCAGACCACCAGUUAAGGUCCCCAAAUAUAUGUUAAGUGGAAAAGGAUGUGGGGUUGCUUAGACAACCAGGAUGUUGGCUUAGAAGCAGCCACCAUUGAAAGAGUGCGUAAUAGCUCACUGGUCGAGUGACCCCGCGCCGAAAAUGUACCGGGGCUAAACAUAUUACCGAAACUGUGGAUGAACCUCUUCGGAGGUUCGUGGUAGGAGAGCGUUCUAAGGGCGGUGAAGUCAGACCGGAAGGACUGGUGGAGCGCUUAGAAGUGAGAAUGCCGGUAUGAGUAGCGAAAGAAGGGUGAGAAUCCCUUCCACCGAAUAUCUAAGGUUUCCUGAGGAAGGCUCGUCCGCUCAGGGUUAGUCGGGACCUAAGCCGAGGCCGAUAGGCGUAGGCGAUGGACAACAGGUAGAGAUUCCUGUACCAGUGCUAAUUGUUUAACCGAUGGGGUGACACAGAAGGAUAGGGAAUCGCACGAAUGGAAAUGUGCGUCCAAGCAGUGAGUGUGAGAAGUAGGCAAAUCCGCUUCUCGCGAAGCAUGAGCUGUGAUGGGGAAGGAAAUUAAGUACGGAAGUUCCUGAUUUCACGCUGUCAAGAAAAGCCUCUAGGAAGAGUAGUACUGCCCGUACCGCAAACCGACACAGGUAGAUGAGGAGAGAAUCCUAAGGUGAGCGAGAGAACUCUCGUUAAGGAACUCGGCAAAAUGACCCCGUAACUUCGGGAGAAGGGGUGCUCUAUUAGGGUGCAAGCCCGAGAGAGCCGCAGUGAAUAGGCCCAGGCGACUGUUUAGCAAAAACACAGGUCUCUGCAAAACCGUAAGGUGACGUAUAGGGGCUGACGCCUGCCCGGUGCUGGAAGGUUAAGAGGAGUGCUUAGCUUCGGCGAAGGUACGAAUUGAAGCCCCAGUAAACGGCGGCCGUAACUAUAACGGUCCUAAGGUAGCGAAAUUCCUUGUCGGGUAAGUUCCGACCCGCACGAAAGGCGCAACGAUCUGGGCACUGUCUCAACGAGAGACUCGGUGAAAUUAUAGUACCUGUGAAGAUGCAGGUUACCCGCGACAGGACGGAAAGACCCCGUGGAGCUUUACUGCAACCUGAUAUGGAAUGUUUGUACCGCUUGUACAGGAUAGGUAGGAGCCGAAGAGACGUGUGCGCUAGCAUACGAGGAGGCAAUGGUGGGAUACUACCCUGGCUGUAUGACCAUUCUAACCCGCCACGCUUAGCGCGUGGGGAGACAGUGUCAGGUGGGCAGUUUGACUGGGGCGGUCGCCUCCUAAAGAGUAACGGAGGCGCCCAAAGGUUCCCUCAGAAUGGAUGGAAAUCAUUCGCAGAGUGUAAAGGCACAAGGGAGCUUGACUGCGAGACUGACAAGUCGAGCAGGGACGAAAGUCGGGCUUAGUGAUCCGGUGGUUCCGCAUGGAAGGGCCAUCGCUCAACGGAUAAAAGCUACCCCGGGGAUAACAGGCUUAUCUCCCCCAAGAGUCCACAUCGACGGGGAGGUUUGGCACCUCGAUGUCGGCUCGUCGCAUCCUGGGGCUGUAGUCGGUCCCAAGGGUUGGGCUGUUCGCCCAUUAAAGCGGCACGCGAGCUGGGUUCAGAACGUCGUGAGACAGUUCGGUCCCUAUCCGUCGCGGGCGCAGGAAAUUUGAGAGGAGCUGUCCUUAGUACGAGAGGACCGGGAUGGACACACCGCUGGUGUACCAGUUGUUCCGCCAGGAGCAUCGCUGGGUAGCUAUGUGUGGCAGGGAUAAACGCUGAAAGCAUCUAAGCGUGAAGCCCCCCUCAAGAUGAGAUUUCCCAUUUCUUCGGAAAGUAAGAUCCCUGAAAGAUGAUCAGGUAGAUAGGUUUGGAGUGGAAGUGUAGCGAUACAUGGAGCGGACAAAUACUAAUCGAUCGAGGACUUAACCAAAA